Molecule: ribosomal RNA, 627 nt
Filed under: Exophiala dermatitidis
Lineage: Eukaryota; Fungi; Ascomycota; Eurotiomycetes; Chaetothyriales; Herpotrichiellaceae
Description: LSU rRNA
Rfam family: Eukaryotic large subunit ribosomal RNA
Source: RNAcentral
UUUGCAUAUCCCCAAAAGCGGAGGAAAAGAAACCAACAGGGAUUGCCUCAGUAACGGCGAGUGAAGCGGCAACAGCUCAAAUUUGAAAUCUGGCCUCUUUGGGGUCCGAGUUGUAAUUUGUAGAGGAUGUUUCGGGCACCGCUCCGGUUUAAAUUUCUUGGAACAGAAUGUCAAAGAGGGUGAGAACCCCGUCUUGGACCGGCAGUAGGGCCCAUGUGAAACUCCUUCGACGAGUCGAGUUGUUUGGGAAUGCAGCUCAAAAUGGGUGGUAAAUUUCAUCUAAAGCUAAAUAUUGGCCAGAGACCGAUAGCGCACAAGUAGAGUGAUCGAAAGAUGAAAAGCACUUUGAAAAGAGAGUUAAACAGUACGUGAAAUUGUUGAAAGGGAAGCGCUUGCAACCAGACUUGCGCGCGGCGGUUCCCCCUUCCUUUUGGUUGGGUUAUUCCGCCGUGUCCAGGCCAACAUCGGUUCUGGGGGUCGGUUAAAGGCCUGGGGAAUGUAUCUACCCUUCGGGCGUAGACUUAUAGCCCCGGGUGUCAUGCGACCUCCCGGGACCGAGGAACGCGCUUCGGCUCGGAUGUUGGCGUAAUGGUUGUCAGCGACCCGUCUUGAACACGGGGACCAAAA